Molecule: ribosomal RNA, 458 nt
Filed under: uncultured bacterium
Lineage: Bacteria
Description: partial 16S ribosomal RNA
Rfam family: Bacterial small subunit ribosomal RNA
Source: RNAcentral
CCUACGGGUGGCAGCAGUGAGGAAUAUUGGUCAAUGGGCGAGAGCCUGAACCAGCCAAGUCGCGUGAGGGAGUACUGCCCUAUGGGUUGUAAACCUCUUUUGUCGGGGAGCAAAAGCCGGACGUGUCCGGCUGUGAGAGUACCCGAAGAAAAAGCCUCGGCUAACUCCGUGCCAGCAGCCGCGGUAAUACGGGGGAUGCGGGCGUUAACGGGAUUUAAUGGGUUUAAAGGGUGCGCAGGGGGAUUUUGAAGUCAGCGGGAAAAUCAUGGGGCUCAACCCCAUCCAGCCGUUGAAACUGGGGAUCUAGAGUGUGCGAGAGGUAGGCGGAAUGCGUGGUGUAGCGGUGAAAUGCAUAGAUAGCACGCAGAACCCCGAUUGCGAAGGCAGCAUACCGGUGCACAACUGACGCUCAGGCACGAAAGCGUGGGUAUCGAACAGGAUUAGAUACCCCAGUAGUC